This 331-nucleotide ribosomal RNA is filed under the name uncultured bacterium. Its description in RNAcentral is "bacterial SSU rRNA". It matches the Rfam family "Bacterial small subunit ribosomal RNA", at positions 568 to 898 of the family's 1533-position model. The record is from RNAcentral.
CGCGUAGGCGGUUUGAUAAGUUGGGUGUGAAAGCCCAGGGCUCAACCCUGGAACUGCACUCAAGACUGUCUUACUUGAAUUCGGUAGAGGUUGGUAGAAUUCCCAGUGUAGAGGUGAAAUUCGUAGAUAUUGGGAAGAAUACCCGUGGCGAAGGCGGCCAACUGGACCGACAUUGACGCUGAGGCGCGAAAGCGUGGGGAGCAAACAGGAUUAGAUACCCUGGUAGUCCACGCCGUAAACGAUGCAUGCUAGACGUUGGAAACCUCAGGUUUCUUGUGUCGCAGCUAACGCACUAAGCAUGCCGCCUGGGGAGUACGGCCGCAAGGUUGAA